AGGGCUGAGGCUGGGUGGGCGUCGGGGCAGGCAGGGCUGCUGGCGCCCCAGGGCUCAGUCGGAGUCCCCCCGGGCGUCCGCGGCUGCCCCCCCCGUCCCUGCUCUCGCCGUCCUCUCUCCACCUGCCGUGUCCCUCCUCGUCGGCAGUCUGUCUGAACGCGCGUGGCCGGGAUGUAUCUCAGGUCUGCAGCCGCAGGGAUGCGAGAAUGUGACUCCCCGAGUGUCUUAUGUCCGUGUCUCCCGUCGUUCGUUUUACCCCCGGAGGUCCCGGCGAAGCCCCACCAGUGCCUGGCUCAGCACCCUGCACACACGAGAGCUUGUGCUGUAGCAGAGUACCCUGAGCAUCAUACUGCUUUCCAGAGAGUUGUUGCCUCAGAUUCUUCUUCGCUGUGGACCUCCUGGCUGUCUAUGAUGGGUGUGUCUCCCCUGGAAGAACAUCAACUAUCAUUUCUUGAAAAAUUGAGUGUCAUCAUUGGAUAAUGACAUCUGCUUCCUAGGGAGCACAUGGCAGAUGGUGUCCAUCCCAGGAGCUUCUCUGUACAGAUAAAGCCUGAGUCGGUGGCUGUUGUCAUAGUUUGGUUACUGUCUGCAAGGCCAUCCUCAAAAAUGCCUGGUGAUAUCACUGCCAUCCAGUGGACACCGUUGUGGCUCCAUUUCUACCCCCAGUCCUGCUUCCUGUGGAAACAUCAAUGAGGAUGCUGAUUGAUAGCACCUGGGACAGAGAACAGAACAGAUUUGGGUGCUAAGCGCCCAUCGGAGACAUAUUAUGUGGUGAUUGGAUCUUCUCUGACAGUGGAUGCAUAAUGGGUCUAAUCUCUCACAGAGGCAGAAGGCCAACAGAUGCUAGUCUGCCUUGUGAAUGAUUAUUUCUUUUCUUUGUAGAAAUUCAGAGUAUCUUAAUGGGCAAGAUUAAAGUCCAGGUAAGGCCUCUCCUCAGCAGCCAGAAAGCACCUGGCGUUUGUGGCAGCAGAAAUCCAAUAUGAAACCCAGAUGAUAAAGAUGGCAAUGGGUGUCACAAAUGUCCCAUCAUAAAUUUCUACCUGGAAUGAGAACCAGGGCAUCACAAAUGUCAGCAAAGGCCAGUGAUGGCUCUAGAGAGGGAUAUUAGGCCAGGAUUGAUCUAUGAGGAAGUCUCAUUCAGGGCUCCCGGCACCUCCCAUCCAUGGGCUGAGCUGACAUGGGCAGGUGUCAAAUUGUCACCCUUCUCCUCACCUCUCAGAAAAGUAAAACUUCUUUAUGAUGC
Canis lupus familiaris (dog) is the source of this 1243-nucleotide long non-coding RNA. RefSeq lists it as uncharacterized. NCBI's taxonomy places the organism in Eukaryota, Metazoa, Chordata, Mammalia, Carnivora, Canidae. The transcript has 3 exons. The record is from RefSeq and is a predicted model, not a curated record.